UCAAAUUUGAAAUCUGGCCCCUCUGGGGGUCCGAGUUGUAAUUUGCAGAGGACACUUCGGGUGCGGUCGCGGUCUAAGUCCCCUGGAACGGGGCGUCGGAGAGGGUGAGAAUCCCGUCUGGGACCGUGGACCUGCCCCGUGUGAAGUUCCUUCGACGAGUCGAGUUGUUUGGGAAUGCAGCUCUAAGUGGGUGGUAAAUUUCAUCUAAAGCUAAAUACCGGCGGGAGACCGAUAGCGCACAAGUAGAGUGAUCGAAAGGUUAAAAGCACCUUGAAAAGGGAGUUAAACAGCACGUGAAAUUGUUGAAAGGGAAGCGCUGGCAGCCAGACAGGGACCCGGGGGCUCAGCGGGCAUGCGUGCCCGUGCACUCCCCCGCGGUCUCGGCCAGCAUCGGUUUCGGCGGCCGGUCAAAGGCCCCGGGAAUGUAUCGUCCUCCGGGACGACUUACAGCCCGGGGUGCAAUGCGGCCAGUCGG
Molecule: ribosomal RNA, 475 nt
Filed under: Nannizziopsis obscura
Lineage: Eukaryota; Fungi; Ascomycota; Eurotiomycetes; Onygenales; Nannizziopsiaceae
Description: partial large subunit ribosomal RNA
Rfam family: Eukaryotic large subunit ribosomal RNA
Source: RNAcentral